Molecule: ribosomal RNA, 433 nt
Filed under: uncultured bacterium
Lineage: Bacteria
Description: partial 16S ribosomal RNA
Rfam family: Bacterial small subunit ribosomal RNA
Source: RNAcentral
AACGAACGCUGGCGGCAUGCCUAACACAUGCAAGUCGAACGAGACCUUCGGGUCUAGUGGCGCACGGGUUCGUAACGCGUGGGAACCUGCCCUUAGGUUCGGAAUAACUCCCCGAAAGGGGUGCUAAUACCGGAUAAUGUCUUCGGACCAAAGAUUUAUCGCCUUUGGAUGGGCCCGCGUUGGUUUAGCUAGUUGGUAGGGUAAAAGCCUACCAAGGCGACGAUCCAUAGCUGGUCUGAGAGGAUGAUCAGCCACACUGGGACUGAGACACGGCCCAGACUCCUACGGGAGGCAGCAGUGGGGAAUAGUGGACAAUGGGCGAAAGCCUGAUCCAGCAAUGCCGCGUGAGUGAUGAAGGCCUUAGGGUUGUAAAGCUCUUUUACCCGGGAUGAUAAUGACAGUACCGGGAGAAUAAGCUCCGGCUAACUCCGUG